This 74-nucleotide transfer RNA is filed under the name Chloroflexota bacterium. Its description in RNAcentral is "Chloroflexi bacterium (Maroochydoore River metagenome) tRNA-Cys". It matches the Rfam family "tRNA". From Rfam's summary of the family: Transfer RNA (tRNA) molecules are approximately 80 nucleotides in length. Lineage: Bacteria; Bacillati; Chloroflexota. The record is from RNAcentral.
GGCGUCGUGGCCAAGUGGUAAGGCAGAGGUCUGCAAAACCUUCAUCACCGGUUCGAAUCCGGUCGACGCCUCAA